GAUGAACGCUGGCGGCGUGCCUAAUACAUGCAAGUCGAGCGAAUGGAUUAAGAGCUUGCUCUUAUGAAGUUGGCGGCGGACGGGUGAGUAACACGUGGGUAACCUGCCCAUAAGACUGGGAUAACUCCGGGAAACCGGGGCUAAUACCGGAUAACAUUUUGAACCGCAUGGUUCGAAAUUGAAAGGCGGCUUCGGCUGUCACUUAUGUAUGGACCCGCGUCGCAUUAGCUAGUUGGUGAGGCAACGGCUCACCAAGGCAACGAUGCGUAGCCGACCUGAGAGGGUGCUCAGCGCCACUUGGACUGAGACACGGCCCAGAGUCCUACGGGAGGCAGCAGUAGGGAAUCUUCCGCAAUGGACGAAAGUCUGACGGGGCAACGCCGCGUGAGUGAUGAAGGCUUUCGGGUCGUAAAACUCUGUUGUUAGGGAAGAACAAGUGCUAGUUGAAUGAGCUGGCACCUUGACGGUACCUAACCAGAAAGCCACGGCUAACUACGUGCCAGCCGCCGCCGUAA
Molecule: ribosomal RNA, 515 nt
Filed under: uncultured bacterium
Lineage: Bacteria
Description: partial 16S ribosomal RNA
Rfam family: Bacterial small subunit ribosomal RNA
Source: RNAcentral